CAGUCAUCCAGGCCUCUUGUGUUGAUGUUCUCAUGGUGUUCCUUGACCCAUGUGAGGGAGCAGCAAGUGCCCAAGGGCUGGGUGAGCCUGGCAGCUUCUCCUCUGCACCCCUGAUCCAAUGCCAGGGGAAGCAGCAAUUCUCCCUGGACAGGGAGGUGGUUCUUUGUCAUCUGGCUGUGGUUCCAGACCCCAAGGCAGGAGCUCUGAAAUUAUCUGGAGUCCUGAUCAGCACUAAUGAUGGAUGAUUUGGAAGGUGAUGCAGGAAAGAGACCUGAAAUCUUUAGCAUUCGUCCACGUUCUGUGAAGAUCUGUGAGAAGUGCUGCUCCCAGUGUGGGUGCAGAAAACCAAGUCCAUUUCCAGCCUCAGGAGAUCCUGUGGGGGAGAGGAACCCCAGAGGGGCCCUGACAGCAGAGCUCUGCCAGAGCUGAGAGAGGCUCAGAGCUAAGCCUUGCUUGGAGCAGGACAACAUGGAUGGAAGAUGUAAAAAUCACAAUGAAUAUUUUUAUUUAUUUAUUUUUUUUUGUAACCUUGCAAACUGAAGUCAACACAGCAUGUUGAGCGUGGGCAGGAACCUCCUCUUCCCAUCUCAAAACACCAAAAAAAACCCCCAUAAAAAUGGAAAAAACAUCUAC
Passer domesticus (house sparrow) is the source of this 633-nucleotide long non-coding RNA. RefSeq lists it as uncharacterized. Lineage: Eukaryota; Metazoa; Chordata; Aves; Passeriformes; Passeridae. The record is from RefSeq and is a predicted model, not a curated record. The transcript is spliced from 2 exons.